Molecule: ribosomal RNA, 494 nt
Filed under: uncultured bacterium
Lineage: Bacteria
Description: partial 16S ribosomal RNA
Rfam family: Bacterial small subunit ribosomal RNA
Source: RNAcentral
GACGAACGCUGGCGGCGUGCUUAACACAUGCAAGUCGAACGGAAAGGCCUGCUUUCCCUUGUGGAUUGCGGGUACUCGAGUGGCGAACGGGUGAGUAACACGUGAGUGAUCUGCCCCCAACUUGGGUAUAAGCCUGGGAAACUGGGUCUAAUUCACGAUAGGACUGCAGGGUGGUGCCUGUGGUGGAAAACGAUUUUCUAGUGGUUGGGGAUGAGCUCGCGGCCUAUCAGCUUGUUGGUGGGGUAAUGGCCAACCAAGGCGGCGACGGGUAGCCGGCCUGGGAGGGUGGACGGCCACAUUAGGACUGAGAUACGGCCCAGACUCCUACGGGAGGCAGCAGUGGGGAAUAUUGCACAAUGGGCGGAAGCCUGAUGCAGCGACGCCGCGUGGGGGAUGACGGCCUUCGGGUUGUAAACUCCUUUCGACCGCGAGGAAGCCACCUGGUUGGAAGGGUGGUGACGGUAGUGGUAGAAGAAGCACCGGCUAACUACGUG